UACGGAGGGGGCAAGCGUUAUUCGGAAUUAUUGGGCGUAAAGGGCGCGUAGGCGGCUAGAUGUGUCAAAGGUGAAAUCCCUCGGCUCAACUGAGGAACUGCCUUUGAAACUGUCUGGCUUGAGGCCGGGAGAGGGUAGCGGAAUUCCCAGUGUAGCGGUGAAAUGCGUAGAGAUCGGGAGGAACAUCAGUUGCGAAGGCGGCUCUCUGGACCAGUACUGACGCUGAGGCACGAAAGCGUGGGGAGCAAACAGG
RNAcentral lists this ribosomal RNA (253 nucleotides) under uncultured bacterium. Its description in RNAcentral is "partial 16S ribosomal RNA". It matches the Rfam family "Bacterial small subunit ribosomal RNA", at positions 524 to 776 of the family's 1533-position model. The record is from RNAcentral.